RNAcentral lists this ribosomal RNA (34 nucleotides) under Physcia caesia. RNAcentral's name for it is "26S ribosomal RNA". The record is from RNAcentral. Lineage: Eukaryota; Fungi; Ascomycota; Lecanoromycetes; Caliciales; Physciaceae.
UUGACCUCGGAUCAGGUAGGGAUACCCGCGACUA